RNAcentral lists this ribosomal RNA (481 nucleotides) under Streptococcus mitis. RNAcentral's name for it is "bacterial SSU rRNA". It matches the Rfam family "Bacterial small subunit ribosomal RNA", at positions 28 to 496 of the family's 1533-position model. The record is from RNAcentral. Lineage: Bacteria; Bacillati; Bacillota; Bacilli; Lactobacillales; Streptococcaceae.
GACGAACGCGGGCGGCGUGCCUAAUACAUGCAAGUAGAACGCUGAAGGAGGAGCUUGCUUCUCUGGAUGAGUUGCGAACGGGUGAGUAACGCGUAGGUAACCUGCCUGGUAGCGGGGGAUAACUAUUGGAAACGAUAGCUAAUACCGCAUAAGAGUAGAUGUCGCAUGACAUUUGCUUAAAAGGUGCAAUUGCAUCACUACCAGAUGGACCUGCGUUGUAUUAGCUAGUUGGUGAGGUAACGGCUCACCAAGGCAACGAUACAUAGCCGACCUGAGAGGGUGAUCGGCCACACUGGGACUGAGACACGGCCCAGACUCCUACGGGAGGCAGCAGUAGGGAAUCUUCGGCAAUGGACGGAAGUCUGACCGAGCAACGCCGCGUGAGUGAAGAAGGUUUUCGGAUCGUAAAGCUCUGUUGUAAGAGAAGAACGAGUGUGAGAGUGGAAAGUCACACUGUGACGUAUCUACCAGAAAGGACGCA